This 266-nucleotide ribosomal RNA is filed under the name uncultured Eubacteriales bacterium. Its description in RNAcentral is "uncultured Clostridiales bacterium partial 16S ribosomal RNA". It matches the Rfam family "Bacterial small subunit ribosomal RNA", at positions 72 to 339 of the family's 1533-position model. The record is from RNAcentral. Lineage: Bacteria; Bacillati; Bacillota; Clostridia; Eubacteriales.
CUUGCUUCUUAUCAAUUCGAGUGGCAAACGGGUGAGUAACACGUGAGCAACCUGCCUUUCAGUGGGGGACAACAUUUGGAAACGAAUGCUAAUACCGCAUAAGACCACAGUGUCGCAUGGCACAGGGGUCAAAGGAUUUAUCCGCUGAAAGAUGGGCUCGCGUCCGAUUAGCUAGAUGGUGAGGUAACGGCCCACCAUGGCGACGAUCGGUAGCCGGACUGAGAGGUUGAACGGCCACAUUGGGACUGAGACACGGCCCAGACUCC